This is a long non-coding RNA of Chelonia mydas (Green sea turtle), 819 nucleotides long. RefSeq lists it as uncharacterized. The transcript has 3 exons. Lineage: Eukaryota; Metazoa; Chordata; Testudines; Cheloniidae. The record is from RefSeq and is a predicted model, not a curated record.
GGAUGGGGGACAGCAGGGGAGGGCCCACGGGAUAGCCUCCCUGGCCAGGAGCUUAAGGGCCAGGCAGGAUGGUUCCGUGGGCCGUAGUUUGCCCACCUCUGCACUAUGCCAUGCCUGGCCACAAGAAGAUGCACCUAUGACCAUGGUAGAAAAUGUGAGUCUGAAAAUCUUGUAUUAAAUCUUUUAAAACCUUAGACUUUGGACAAGGCGAUCUACUAGGAGGUCAGCAAAGAAAUCCACCCAUGAACCUAUCAGAUUGCUGCACAGUGGCUGCACAACUGCCCCAACCCAUAGCAGCUAAUACAACCUGGGGCCCCUGCAUGCCCCUGUGCCAGGAGUUUAGGCCUGUGGAUCCAAAAAGUAUUGAAUUUUCUAGUCCUUCACAGAGCUCACACACACUUCUAAGGAAACAGGCCCCAUGCAGCACAGCUCAACAAUGCACUGCUGGUGUGGAAUAUCAACCUCCAGACUGCUUCCAAAGCAGUGGAUCCCAUAGCAACUUCAUUGCAUCAAGCGCCUUCCAUGCCUGUGGGGUGCAGAAAGCAGCAUUUGUCCCCAAAUCCUGAAAAUUUUGAAUAAUUCCUCUGCAGCUGGUUCUGAUGCAAGAUGAUUCACUGAGAUGAAAGGGCACAAUCUCCCAAUAGUGUGCAAUCACUUCAUCAUCAAAAUCGUUUACUGCAUUUGAUAUAAAUGAGGGUGCCAAUGUAUUUUGAAGAUCUCAGUGAGGAUGUCAGUGUAUUUUGCUGAAAAAUUAGAGGAGCACUUCCAGUCUUCAGAUCAUAUUUUUAUAUCAUUUUAACUUUUUUACUACUAGCAUCU